UAAGGAAUAUUGGUCAAUGGACGCAAGUCUGAACCAGCCAUGCCGCGUGGAGGAUGAAGGUCCUCUGGAUUGUAAACUUCUUUUAUCUGGGACGAAACACUUCUUUUCUAAGAGGCCUGACGGUACCAGAUGAAUAAGCACCGGCUAACUCCGUGCCAGCAGCCGCGGUAAUACGGAGGGUGCAAGCGUUAUCCGGAUUCACUGGGUUUAAAGGGUGCGUAGGCGGGCAUGUAAGUCAGUGGUGAAAUACCGGAGCUUAACUUCGGAACUGCCAUUGAUACUAUAUGUCUUGAAUAUUGUGGAGGUAAGCGGAAUAUGUCAUGUAGCGGUGAAAUGCUUAGAUAUGACAUAGAACACCAAUUGCGAAGGCAGCUUACUACAUAUAAAUUGACGCUGAGGCACGAAAGCGUGGGGAUCAAACA
Molecule: ribosomal RNA, 422 nt
Filed under: uncultured bacterium
Lineage: Bacteria
Description: bacterial SSU rRNA
Rfam family: Bacterial small subunit ribosomal RNA
Source: RNAcentral